CCUCUCCUCUCCUCCUCUCCUCCUCUCCUCUCCUGAUGUCUGGAUCGGUAGAGUCCCAUUGCAGGUUCAGAUUCUACUCAAAGUGUCUUUCAGCGUUCAUCUUUCAUCCUCUUCUCUCUGUCCAUCCUGUAGUCUUUAAUGUUCCUGUGAUUGAAGAAGUGGAGGAAUCCAAAACACAGAGAGGUCAGAGGUCAUCUUUCAUCCUCUUCAUCACUCCUCUUCCUCCUGUGGUCUUUAAUGUUUCUGUGUGAUUGAAUAAGUGGAGGAAUCCAAAACACACAGAGGUCGAAGGUCAGAGGUCAAAGGGCAGAGGUCAGUCCAGCACAUUCAUCUGACAGUUCCAGUGGUGAAUAAAGUGUCUGGAUCUCUUUAUCUCUUUAUCUCUCCAUCUCUCUAUCUCUCCAUCCUCCAUCUCUCCAUCCCUCUAUCUCUCCAUCCCUCUAUCUCUCCAUCUCUCCAUCUCUUUAUCUCUUUAUCUCUCCAUCUCUCCAUCUCUCUAUCUCUUUAUCUCCCCAUCUCUCUAUCUCUUUAUCUCUCCAUCUCUCCCUCUCUCUAUCUCUCCAUCUCUUUAUCUCUCCAUCUCUCCAUCUCUCUAUCUCUUUAUCUCUCCAUCUCUCUAUCUCUCCAUCUCUCUAUCUCUCCAUCUCUCUAUCUCUCUAUCUCUCCAUCUCUCCAUCUCUUUAUCUCUCCAUCUCUCCCUCUCUCCAUCUCUCCAUCUCUCUUUCUCUUUAUCUCUCCAUCUCUCAAUCUCCAUCUCUCAAUCUCUCUUUCAAUCUCUUUAUCUCUCCAUCUCUAUCUCUUUAUCUCUCCAUCUCUCUUCUCCCCAUGUGGUGUCCUGUUGCCUGCUGUGAGUGGGAGUAGUCCUGUAAGCAGAGGUGUGUCUCUCUGCCUCUCUCUCUCUCUCUCUCUCUCUCUCCCUCUCUCUCUCUCUCUCUUUUAGAGGUUAGUGGUCCUGUAGUCUGUUAACAUGUCCAUCUCUUUCCUUCUCUCUCCCUCUCUCUCUCUCUCUCUCUCUCUCUCUCUCUCUCUUUCUUUUUGUCCGAGGUCAGUGAGUGGUCCUGUGGGCUGUUGAAGUGUCCAUCUGGUUUAGUCUCUCUUGAAGAGGUGUGUGUGUGUUGUUGCCCUCCUCUCCUCUCAGACCUCCGACUCCAGGCUGGAGCAUCUACCCCAGGGCUUCGGCACAAAGGGGCUACUGCCUCUCCUGGCCACCAGCACCUGCCUCCGCUCCCUGCUCCGCCCCCGCUGCCCGGCAACCCCGCCGCCUCGUCCCGCCCGUA
Molecule: long non-coding RNA, 1277 nt
Organism: Clupea harengus (Atlantic herring)
Lineage: Eukaryota; Metazoa; Chordata; Actinopteri; Clupeiformes; Clupeidae
Source: Ensembl